This 142-nucleotide ribosomal RNA is filed under the name uncultured bacterium. RNAcentral describes it as "partial 16S rRNA". It matches the Rfam family "Bacterial small subunit ribosomal RNA", at positions 355 to 511 of the family's 1533-position model. The record is from RNAcentral.
CGGGGAAUUUUCCGCAAUGGGCGAAAGCCUGACGGAGCAAUGCCGCGUGGAGGUGGAAGGCCUACGGGUCGUCAACUUCUUUUCUCGGAGAAGAAACAAUGACGGUAUCUGAGGAAUUAAGCAUCGGCUAACUCUGUGACAG